AACGAACGCUGGCGGCGUGCCUAACACAUGCAAGUCGUGCGGUAACAGGCGUAGCAAUACGUGCUGACGAGCGGCGAACGGGUGCGUAAUACAUGGGAAUCUGCCCUUUAGUGGGGAAUAACCCGGCGAAAGCCGGGCUAAUGCCGCAUAAGAUCUUCGGAUGAAAGCGGGGGAUCGUAAGACCUCGCGCUGAUGGAUGAGCCCAUGUCGGAUUAGCAGUUGGUGAGGUAACGGCUCACCAAGGCGACGAUCCGUAGCUGGUCUGAGAGGACGGCCAGCCACACUGGGACUGAGACACGGCCCAGACUCCUACGGGAGGCAGCAGUGGGG
This 330-nucleotide ribosomal RNA is filed under the name uncultured bacterium. RNAcentral describes it as "bacterial SSU rRNA". It matches the Rfam family "Bacterial small subunit ribosomal RNA", at positions 29 to 359 of the family's 1533-position model. The record is from RNAcentral.